AACGAACGCUGGCGGCAGGCUUAACACAUGCAAGUCGAACGCACUCUUCGGAGUGAGUGGCAGACGGGUGAGUAACGCGUGGGGAUGUACCCAAAGGUACGGAACAACUCCGGGAAACUGGGGCUAAUACCGUAUGUGCCCGAGAGGGGAAAGAUUUAUCGCCUUUGGAUCAACCCGCGUCAGAUUAGCUAGUUGGUAGGUAAUGGCCUACCAAGGCGACGAUCUGUAGCUGGUCUGAGAGGAUGAUCAGCCACACUGGGAC
Molecule: ribosomal RNA, 262 nt
Filed under: uncultured bacterium
Lineage: Bacteria
Description: partial 16S ribosomal RNA
Rfam family: Bacterial small subunit ribosomal RNA
Source: RNAcentral